Molecule: ribosomal RNA, 555 nt
Filed under: Paenibacillus sp. WB78
Lineage: Bacteria; Bacillati; Bacillota; Bacilli; Caryophanales; Paenibacillaceae
Description: bacterial SSU rRNA
Rfam family: Bacterial small subunit ribosomal RNA
Source: RNAcentral
AGAAGCUUGCUUCUCUGAUGGUUAGCGGCGGACGGGUGAGUAACACGUAGGCAACCUGCCCUCAAGUUUGGGACAACUACCGGAAACGGUAGCUAAUACCGAAUAGUUGUUUYCUUCGCCUGAAGGAAACUGGAAAGACGGAGCAAUCUGUCACUUGGGGAUGGGCCUGCGGCGCAUUAGCUAGUUGGUGGGGUAACGGCUCACCAAGGCGACGAUGCGUAGCCGACCUGAGAGGGUGAUCGGCCACACUGGGACUGAGACACGGCCCAGACUCCUACGGGAGGCAGCAGUAGGGAAUCUUCCGCAAUGGGCGAAAGCCUGACGGAGCAAUGCCGCGUGAGUGAUGAAGGUUUUCGGAUCGUAAAGCUCUGUUGCCAGGGAAGAACGCUUGGGAGAGUAACUGCUCUCAAGGUGACGGUACCUGAGAAGAAAGCCCCGGCUAACUACGUGCCAGCAGCCGCGGUAAUACGUAGGGGGCAAGCGUUGUCCGGGAAUUAUUGGGCGUAAAGCGCGCGCAGGCGGUCAUUUAAGUCUGGUGUUUAAUCCCGGGGCUCA